RNAcentral lists this ribosomal RNA (460 nucleotides) under uncultured bacterium. Its description in RNAcentral is "partial 16S ribosomal RNA". It matches the Rfam family "Bacterial small subunit ribosomal RNA", at positions 338 to 795 of the family's 1533-position model. The record is from RNAcentral.
CCUACGGGGGGCAGCAGUGAGGAAUAUUGGUCAAUGGACGCAAGUCUGAACCAGCCAUGCCGCGUGCAGGAAGACGGCUCUAUGAGUUGUAAACUGCUUUUGUACGAGGGUAAACGCAGAUACGCGUAUCUGUCUGAAAGUAUCGUACGAAUAAGGAUCGGCUAACUCCGUGCCAGCAGCCGCGGUAAUACGGAGGAUUCAAGCGUUAUCCGGAUUUAAUGGGUUUAAAGGGUGCGUAGGCGGUCGGAUAAGUUAGAGGUGAAAUCCCGAGGCUCAACUUCGGAAUUGCCUCUGAUACUGUUCGGCUAGAGAGUAGUUGCGGUAGGCGGAAUGUAUGGUGUAGCGGUGAAAUGCUUAGAGAUCAUACAGAACACCGAUUGCGAAGGCAGCUUACCAAGCUACUUCUGACGUUGAGGCACGAAAGCGUGGGGAGCAAACAGGAUUAGAUACCCGGGUAGUC